This 593-nucleotide ribosomal RNA is filed under the name Erythrobasidium hasegawianum. RNAcentral describes it as "eukaryotic LSU rRNA". It matches the Rfam family "Eukaryotic large subunit ribosomal RNA", at positions 64 to 668 of the family's 3401-position model. The record is from RNAcentral. Lineage: Eukaryota; Fungi; Basidiomycota; Cystobasidiomycetes; Erythrobasidiales; Erythrobasidiaceae.
GCCAUAGGGUAUUUCCUCCUAGGUAACGCACGAGUGAAGUGGGAAAAGCUCAACUUUGAAAUCUGGCUGUUUUACAGUCCGAGUUGUAGUCUCGAGAAGUGUUUUCCGCGUUAAACCGUGUAUGAGUCUGUUGGAACACAGCGUCAUAGAGGGUGAGAACCCCGUUCAUGACACGGCUUUUAAUGCUUUGUGAUACAUUUUCGAUGAGUCGAGUUGUUUGGGAAUGCAGCUCAAAUUGGGUGGUAAAUUCCAUCUAAAGCUAAAUAUUGGCGAGAGACCGAUAGCAAACAAGUACCGUGAGGGAAAGAUGAAAAGCACUUUGGAAAGAGAGUUAAAAGUACGUGAAAUUGUCGAAAGGGAAACGCUUGAAGUCAGACGUGCACGGGAUUUAUUCCUAUUGCAGGCCAACAUCGGUUUUACGAGCCGGAUAAAGGUACAAGGAAGGUAGCAGUUUCGGCUGUGUUAUAGCCUCGUACUGAAUACGGAUUGUGAGACCGAGGGACGCAGCGCGCCGCAAGGCAAAGGGUCCGCCCUUUUCGCGCUUAGGAUGUUGGUGAAAUGGCUUUAAUCGACCCGUCUUGAAACACGGACCA